GUAGGGAAUAUUCCGCAAUGGGCGAAAGCCUGACGGAGCAACGCCGCGUGAGUGAAGAAGGUCUUCGGAUCGUAAAGCUCUGUCAACAGGGACGAAACAAGACGGUACCUGAGAAGGAAGCCACGGCAAACUACGUGCCAGCAGCCGCGGUAAUACGUAGGUGUCAAGCGUUGUCCGGAAUAACUGGGCGUAAAGCGCAUGUAGACGGCAUGAUAAGCCAAAUGUGAAAUGUAGGGGCUCAACCCCUACACUGCGAUUGGAACUGUCAAGCUUGAGUGCAGGAGAGGCAAAUAGAAUUCCCAGUGUAGCAGUGAAAUGCGUAGAGAUUGGGAGGAACACCAGUGGCGAAGGCGAUUUGCUGGACUGCAACUGACGUUGAGAUGCGAAAGCCAGGGGAGCAAACGGGAUUAGAUACCCUUGUAGUCC
Molecule: ribosomal RNA, 426 nt
Filed under: uncultured bacterium
Lineage: Bacteria
Description: partial 16S ribosomal RNA
Rfam family: Bacterial small subunit ribosomal RNA
Source: RNAcentral